GUGUGGUAGGGGAGACGGAAUUCCUGGUGUAGCGGUGAAAUGCGCAAUAUCAGGAGGAACACCGAUGGCGAAGGCAGGUCUCUGGGCCAUUACUGACGCUGAGAAGCGAAAGCAUGGGUAGCGAACAGGAUUAGAUACCCUGGUAGUCCAUGCCGUAAACGUUGGGCGCUGGGUGUGGGGUCCAUUCCACGGAUUCUGCGCCGUAGCUAACGCAUUAAGCGCCCCGCCUGGGGAGUACGGCCGCAAGGCUAAAACUCAAAGGAAUUGACGGGGGCCCGCACAAGCGGCGGAGCAUGCGGAUUAAUUCGAUGCAACGCGAAGAACCUUACCAAGGCUUGACAUACACCGGAAAAGUGCAGAGAUGUACUCCCCUUUUUGGUCGGUGUACAGGUGGUGCAUGGUUGUCGUCAGCUCGUGUCGUGAGAUGUUGGGUUAAGUCCCGCAACGAGCGCAACCCUCGUCGCAUGUUGCCAGCACGUAAUGGUGGGGACUCAUGUGAGACUGCCGGGGUCAACUCGGAGGAAGGUGGGGAUGACGUCAAAUCAUCAUGCCCCUUAUGUCUUGGGCUUCACGCAUGCUACAAUGGCCGGUACAGAGUGCUGCGAUACCGUGAGGUGGAGCGAAUCACUUAAAGCCGGUCUCAGUUCGGAUUGGGGUCUGCAACUCGACCCCAUGAAGUCGGAGUCGCUAGUAAUCGCAGAUCAGCAACGCUGCGGUGAAUACGUUCCCGGGCCUUGUACACACCGCCCGUCAAGUCACGAAAGUUGGUAACACCCGAAGCCGGUGGCCUAACCCUUGUGGGGGGAGCCGUCGAAGU
RNAcentral lists this ribosomal RNA (817 nucleotides) under Dermatophilus congolensis. RNAcentral's name for it is "bacterial SSU rRNA". It matches the Rfam family "Bacterial small subunit ribosomal RNA", at positions 646 to 1462 of the family's 1533-position model. The record is from RNAcentral. Lineage: Bacteria; Bacillati; Actinomycetota; Actinomycetes; Micrococcales; Dermatophilaceae.